This 440-nucleotide ribosomal RNA is filed under the name uncultured bacterium. RNAcentral describes it as "partial 16S ribosomal RNA". It matches the Rfam family "Bacterial small subunit ribosomal RNA", at positions 338 to 795 of the family's 1533-position model. The record is from RNAcentral.
CCUACGGGUGGCAGCAGUGGGGGAUAUUGCACAAUGGGGGAAACCCUGAUGCAGCGACGCCGCGUGUGGGAAGACGGUCUUCUGGAUUGUAAACCACUGUCCCCAGGGACGAAAAUGACGGUACCUGGGGAGGAAGCUCCGGCUAACUACGUGCCAGCAGCCGCGGUAAUACGUAGGGAGCAAGCGUUGUCCGGAAUUACUGGGUGUAAAGGGAGCGUAGGCGGGGAUGCAAGUUGGGUGUCAAAACUACCGGCUCAACCGAUAGUCGCACUCAAAACUGCAGCUCUUGAGUGAAGUAGAGGCAGGCGGAAUUCCUAGUGUAGCGGUGAAAUGCGUAGAUAUUAGGAGGAACACCAGUGGCGAAGGCGGGCUGCUGGGCAUUUACUGACGCUGAGGCUCGAAAGUGUGGGGAGCAAACAGGAUUAGAUACCCGGGUAGUC